UUAAAAUUGUUGCAGUUAAAACGCUCGUAGUUGAAUUUCAAAGAAUCAAUAUUUUAAGUAAUGCUUUUGGUAUAAGAUGCUUAGGCAAUACAACGUAUCUGCUCUUUGCAUUCCUUAUCCAAAAUGUGUUCUUAUUAUAAAAAGGAUUCUUUUUAAAAUCUCCUUUACUUUUUGUACUGGAGAUUUUGUUACUUUGAGUAAAUUAGAGUGUUCAAAGCAAACAGUUAAAGCAUUUUACUGCGUUUGAAUACUACAGCAUGGAAUAACAAAAUUGAACAAGUCAAAAUUCUGUUCCUUUUUCUUAUUUUGGCUUAGUUACGAUUAAUAGGAGUAGCUUGGGGGCAUUUGUAUUCAGAUGUCAGAGGUGAAAUUCUUAGAUUUUCUGGAGACAAACAACUGCGAAAGCAUUUGCCUAAAAUACUUCCAUUAAUCAAGAACGAAAGUUAAGGGAGUGAAGACGAUCAGAUACCGUCGUAAUCUUAACCAUAAACUAUGCCAACUAUGUUUUGGAUGUAUGAGAAAAAGGUGGAAUACUUUGUUUUACGACAUUGUCAUUCCAUUUAUGCUUCAUUCAGUACCUUAGAGAAAUCAAAGUCUUUGGGUUCUGGGGCGAGUAUUCGCGCAAGCGAGAAAGUUAAAAGAAUUGACGGAAGGGCACCACCAGGCGUGGAGCUUGCGGCUUAAUUUGACUCAACACGGGAAAACUUACUAGUAUAAGACAAGAGUAGGAUUGACAGAUUAAUAGCUCUUUCUUGAUUUCUUGGAUGGUGAUGCAUGGCCGUUUUUAGUUCGUGAAUAUGAUUUGUCUGGUUAAUUCCGAUAACGAACGAGACCUUAACCUGCUAGUUAGCGGCCGGUAUGUCGCGAAUUUAUCAAAAUCUUAUCUCGUAGGCUGGAUUAUUUUUAGAAGAUAUGACGGAUAACCGAGUCGAGUGUCGUCCCCAUCACUGUUCUAUUAAUUCGCAGUCUGUCCUGGUUUUUUUUUGGUAAGUAUGUAUCCGCUUGAAUGUAAGCUUCUUAGAGGUACGAUGUGUGCUUAACACAAGGAAGUUUAAGGCAACAACAGG
This 1067-nucleotide ribosomal RNA is filed under the name Plasmodium ovale (malaria parasite P. ovale). RNAcentral describes it as "bacterial SSU rRNA". It matches the Rfam family "Eukaryotic small subunit ribosomal RNA", at positions 604 to 1460 of the family's 1831-position model. The record is from RNAcentral. Lineage: Eukaryota; Apicomplexa; Aconoidasida; Haemosporida; Plasmodiidae.